GGAGAUUUUAAAAGCCAAUUUAAGUUUUUCAUUGCUUUUCUGGGUUUGAUCUCAAUUUCGUGUUUUGAGAUUUCAAAUUUUCAAUUUUGGUUUUUUUUGAGUGUUUCAUGUGAAAAAAAGAGUAAUCUAGAAAUGCCAGUUACAGAUUAUCAAGGAGCAUCUGCAUCUUUCACAAAUUUUGGGAGAUCUCUUUUGAGUAUGCGUCGAGAUCAGGUGCAUUCCAUGGAAGCUGCUCAUGAGGCGACUAGUCAAGAGAUUGAACUCGAAGCUUUCCAGAAGCAAGUGGCUGAGCGUUUUAAUGAAUUAUCUUCUGUUGAUUCUGAUCAAUUGCUUUCGGUUCCCUGGAUCCGUAAGCUGUUGGAUGUGUUCCUCUGUUGCCAGGAGCAAUUCAGGUCUAUUUUGUUCAACAACACUGCUAAUUUGAACAAACCUCCUAUGGACAGAUACGUCACUGAAUAUUUCGAUAGGAGUGUGAAGGGAUUGGAUGUUUGUAACGCGAUAAGGGAUGGAAUUGAGCAGAUAAAGCAGUGGCAGAAGCAGUUGGAGAUUGUUCUGUGUGCAUUGGAAAAUCAGAGGUGUGUUGGUGAAGGUCAAUUUCGUCGUGCUAAGAAGGCUUUGAUUGAUUUUGCAAUUGGUAUGCUUGAUGAGAAGGAGUCUAAUACAUCUGUGGCUCAUAGAAACAGGUCAUUUGGCCGAAACAAUACUCAGAAUGAUCAUAAAUCUUUAGGCCAUUUUAGAUCAUUGUCAUGGAGUGUUUCUAGAAAUUGGUCUGCUGCUAGGCAGCUUCAAGCAAUUGGUAACAACUUAGUUGCUCCAAAAAAUAACGAAAUUGCUGCUACCAAUGGAUUAGCGUUGGCUGUUUUCACAAUGAGUUAUGUGUUAUACUUUGUAAUGUGGGCACUUGUGGCAGCAAUACCAUGCCAGGACCGUGGGUUGCAGACCCAUUUUUAUGUGACUAGGCAAUUCGUUUGGGCCGUCCCAAUCCUAUCACUCCAUGAAAGGAUUUUGGAGGAAUCGAAGAAGAGGGAUCGUAGAAAUGCUUGUGGAUUGUUGAAGGAGAUUCAUGAGAUGGAGAAAUGCGCUCAUCAUAUGAAUGAAUUGAUCGAUACGGUUCAUUUUCCAAUCACAGAGGAAAAAGAUGGAGAAGUGAAGCUAAGAGUUCAUGAACUUGGGCUUGUUUAUGAUGGUUUAAAGAAUGGAUUAGACCCUUUAGAGCGCCAGGUUAGGGAAGUAUUCCAUCGAAUUGUUCGGAGCAGGACUGAAGGCCUCGACUCAAUCGGACGAGGGAAUCAUGAGUGAAACAAUUGUUGGGAACCCAUCAAUUUAGAAUAUGAUAUAUAGAUUUUCCCUUUUCAGUUCUUUUCUUUUUUGGACCUUUUUUAGAUGAGGGAGAAUGGUUAAUGGUGCCAGAAAAAUAAGUAGUUUAAAGAGGUGAAAAUAAUGUAUUUUCACUUCAUAUUUGUAAAGAAAUUUAGGAAAAAAAUGGAUCUUUGAUUCAUUUUUGGUGAUAAUCAUCUUGUUUGGGAUUGUAUAAUCACUUAUGACUUAAGUUUGCUUUUUU
This 1561-nucleotide unclassified non-coding RNA is filed under the name Hevea brasiliensis (rubber tree). Lineage: Eukaryota; Viridiplantae; Streptophyta; Magnoliopsida; Malpighiales; Euphorbiaceae. The record is from RNAcentral.